CGUCUGCUAUUGAUAUAUUGACGCGGUCGGCGGCUGGGUCAUUUAAAUCUAUGGCUUCAACGACGACUUGAUGCCAAUCUCGCUCUCACCGGUGGUGUCGCUUCUGUAGACAACAUCAGACUAAGGUGCUUGCGGACGGUGUGUGUGCGUGCGCCACCUGUAAACAUAGCUCUUGUGAGAUUGUUUCGCGUGUUAAACGUUCACUGAAAAAAUUGCAACCUCUAAGGGAAUUAGGGCUUAGCAUGCAUACAAUGCACGCAAGUCUAUGCGCACAUGCGGUUUAUUAUUAAACCAAAAUACAUUGUAACACAUCCGUUCGCGAAGUGUUCAUUAUACUUUUGUAUAAACAAAGGCAGAUCUGAACGUUGACAUCAGACACCAUCUUUUUCGUCAUGUUGAUGCAGCUUGUGCGAUCCUCAAAGGAUCAAUUCGAUUCGCUGGUUGGACUCGAUAAAUAAACGUAUAGAAAAUGUACGACGUCGUAUAACAACGACGCUUAGCGACGGCUUAAGGAUAAGACAUUUCUUCCUUUGCUAAGGUUGUCCAGCACCGCAGCACGCUAAAAACCGAUACGAAUACCUCAAUGGUACAAUUUUUAGCAAAUGGAACGAGUGAAAUUUAUCGUUCGUUUGUUAUGAGAGACAGAAUUGGCUACCACAGAAAAGUACAGCAGAGUCAAAGCUGAUUGGGUCACGCUUCAUAUAUCUUUCCCUUCAUGCCGUACGUUUUUUUUACCUGUCAAUUAGCAACACGUCCAACAAACAACCAUAGCCGCUGAUCCGUACGGAAGAUCUCCCGCUUUGGGGUAGAGAAAACCAAAGAUCACAUCGCACGAUGCCUGUCACUUUUGGUUGGACACCGCAGGAGAUCUCGUCCAAUAACUUAAGCUCGAAUUGAAAAGCACUCUUCUUGAGGCAUUGUUAGCGUUUACUCAAUGGAGCCUUGAUGGAGGUGAGCGUGUUUCUCGACAUGGAGAUCUAUUAGUGCGUAGAUCGCAGCGGACAGCCAUAUUCAAACAUAUCCUCAAUGGAACACCUGACGCUGUUUAGGCGAUUUUAUCCUAUUUAUGCAAGGAAACGGAGAAUCAGCACCGCAGCUAUAUAGUUUCCCUGCCCAACUGGCUGGCUGCUUGCCACCCGUUCGUUGUCUAGAAAUACCGGACGGACCACACCGGAACAUCAGCACGGCCUGCUCAGCCCUUCAAUAAUGUGAAGUUAUUGCCAGGGGGAGGUCAUAAACCGAUCGCAGGGUGCAGCGGCCUCCGAUCCGUCCAUGCAGACGUGUCAAUGCAUACAAAUACAAUCUGUGGGGUUGCUGGUACUGCUCUUCGGUCUUGUUUUCCUCGGGGUUGGAGUAUUCUGCAUGGCCAUUGAGUAUUUUUGCAGAACCAGCAUGGCGCUGUGUGAUUAUUGAAAUAGCUGUCAAUGAUCAUUCGUUGUCACAGUUGCUAUCUACAAUCAUCUCUCAAGACGACGCAGGUCCCGUAGAGUACGAGAAACGAACGAGGGGCAACAAAGCAAGUUUCUUCGGUACGACCAAUUCCUUCAUCACCACGUCCAUCUCCUGCCCUCUCACACUCACCGCCUACUUCGUACACAAGCAAAUGUCAACCACGUCGCGAACGAUGGAGACUAACGGCAGAAGCAUUGUAAGCUAGGAACAUGCGGAAAGUUCCCUCAUACCAAGCGGAGUAGUCGUUGUGCUGUCUGCAGUCGCACAUUCGUAUGGCGUCGGCGCCAACAACUCAGCGGUUCGCGGCCAUAGUUUAGCCACGCCGGACUCCGAGGUCGUUCCGAUUCAGAGAGCACUACUUCUUCGCUUGGUAACGGCGGCGGCAAUGGGUCGAGGUGCCAACGAGCGCUCCACUCGUGCCGUUGCUGCCGCCGGGAACCACUGCUCGUCGCUCAAAGGGGGUCAGACGAUUUAUGAGCAGAGAAAUCACCAGCGACGCGCCCAGAUUUAAUAAACGGCUGAAGUGGAAACGGCAGCGAUGGCGGCAGCAGCAGCGCUCGCGGAGGCAAACUGGUCGGCCAGCUUCUGCAGUUGCGACUACUGCUACUUUCUACCUUUGUCGACACCAUUGUUUCUGCAGCCGGCCGAACGAAUAAACGACGGACCACGGGCACCUGCAGAACAUACGAAAGAAGAGUAUAGGACAAUCCAGCAGGCGCAUUGGAGGUUGGUAGCACUUUGCUACUCAACCUACAGGCGCUGUAGGACACACAGUCAUCGAAGAGGAUAGGUCGGAGAAGUGUCGACUCCGGACGUUUGCGCUGGAGCGUCGGACUAUUUGAGUGCAAAAGAAGUGAUGUGCGAUGCAGGUCAAGAAUUGGUGGAGGGCAGUCGAGUUGGCCGUGACUUGACCCAGGACAGGCCCGUCGGAUGGUCAACGAGAUCGGGUCGACCCUAGGGUUAGGGAUGGGGAAUUGGAAGCGCGAAUGUAAGGCGACCGGGGUCUUUGUUUUUCAACAAAUGGCCCUCCUGGGAAGAUUCUUCGGCGAAAAAUAGACAGGAAGAAUGGGGCAAGCCCAAAGUAGGAGAUCUAAGACAACGAUCGUAUGUCCUCAUAGGCUUCACAUGGACGACUCUCGCAUGAAGACCUAUCGGAAAGGAUAUAGGAUCGACAGUUGUAGAAAUGGGUGUGAUUGGAGAAGAUCAGCAAAAGCAACUGACGUUUAGUCCUUUCUGUUGCUGCCACGCUCGGACUUGUACGAGCAAUGCGGGCUUGUGAGAUAAAUCAACGAAUAGCUGAGAUAUGAUAACAGCCAUUAAAUAAAACUUGUACUUCUUGAUUUUGAAACAUUUGUCCAAGCUUCGUUCGCUUUCUGCGUCUGUAUCAUAUAGCCAUCUUUGUUCA
Varroa destructor (honeybee mite) is the source of this 2857-nucleotide long non-coding RNA. RefSeq lists it as uncharacterized. The record is from RefSeq and is a predicted model, not a curated record. NCBI's taxonomy places the organism in Eukaryota, Metazoa, Arthropoda, Arachnida, Mesostigmata, Varroidae.